RNAcentral lists this ribosomal RNA (497 nucleotides) under uncultured bacterium. Its description in RNAcentral is "partial 16S ribosomal RNA". It matches the Rfam family "Bacterial small subunit ribosomal RNA", at positions 28 to 507 of the family's 1533-position model. The record is from RNAcentral.
GAUGAACGCUGGCGGCGUGCCUAAUACAUGCAAGUCGAGCGAACAGACGAGGAGCUUGCUCCUCUGACGUUAGCGGCGGACGGGUGAGUAACACGUGGAUAACCUACCUAUAAGACUGGGAUAACUUCGGGAAACCGGAGCUAAUACCGGAUAAUAUAUUGAACCGCAUGGUUCAAUAGUGAAAGACGGUUUUGCUGUCACUUAUAGAUGGAUCCGCGCCGCAUUAGCUAGUUGGUAAGGUAACGGCUUACCAAGGCAACGAUGCGUAGCCGACCUGAGAGGGUGAUCGGCCCCUCUAGAACUGAGACACAGUCCAGCCUCCUACGGGAGGCAGCAGUAGGGAAUCUUCCGCUAUCGGCGAAAGCUAGACGGAGCAACGCCGCGUGAGUGAUGAAGGUCUUCGGAUCGUAAAACUCUGUUAUUAGGGAAAAACAAAUGUGUAAGUAACUAUGCACGUCUUGACGGUACCUAAUCAGAAAGCCACGGCUAACUACGUG